UGUCAUGUUAAUGUCUUGUCACGUGACGUGUUCGUACGUGUACGUGUGAGUUUUAUUUGUCACUCCCGCACUCGACAUUAGAGGUAGCUGACGUACUUUAUACAUGCGACAUCUAUGACAACAUACAGUGUUAAAUGCAGCAAUAUCCUAAAAUGAAUUAAACAUGUAGACGUCGGAUCAGAAUUGUUGAUAUUGUCAUUAAGACCCCUGUCGGAUUGACAGGGGUCUUAUUCGUAAUAGAAAUAAAGAGUGCUUAAACGGAAA
Molecule: long non-coding RNA, 264 nt
Organism: Pecten maximus
Lineage: Eukaryota; Metazoa; Mollusca; Bivalvia; Pectinida; Pectinidae
Exons: 3
Source: RefSeq, a predicted model, not a curated record